CAGUCGCCACGGGAAUACGUAGGUGGCAAGCGUUGUCCGGAAUUAUUGGGCGUAAAGGGCUCGCAGGCGGUUUCUUAAGUCUGAUGUGAAAGCCCCCGGCUCAACCGGGGAGGGUCAUUGGAAACUGGGAAACUUGAGUGCAGAAGAGGAGAGUGGAAUUCCACGUGUAGCGGUGAAAUGCGUAGAGAUGUGAGGAACACCAGUGGCGAAGGCGACUCUCUGGUCUGUAACUGACGCUGAGGAGCGAAAGCGUGGGGAGCGAACAGGAUUAGAUACCCCUGUAGUCCCUGUCUCUUAUACA
Molecule: ribosomal RNA, 301 nt
Filed under: uncultured bacterium
Lineage: Bacteria
Description: partial 16S ribosomal RNA
Rfam family: Bacterial small subunit ribosomal RNA
Source: RNAcentral